Molecule: transfer RNA, 68 nt
Filed under: Heterocephalus glaber (naked mole-rat)
Lineage: Eukaryota; Metazoa; Chordata; Mammalia; Rodentia; Bathyergidae
Rfam family: tRNA
About the family: Transfer RNA (tRNA) molecules are approximately 80 nucleotides in length.
Source: Rfam by way of RNAcentral
GGGAGGGUAGCUCAGUGGUAGAGCACAUGCCUAGCAUGUGUGAAGUUCAGGUUUGAUCCCUAGCCCCA